Molecule: ribosomal RNA, 672 nt
Filed under: Bacillus sp. B51
Lineage: Bacteria; Bacillati; Bacillota; Bacilli; Caryophanales; Bacillaceae
Also listed under: 15 other names
Description: bacterial SSU rRNA
Rfam family: Bacterial small subunit ribosomal RNA
Source: RNAcentral
GAAGUUAGCGGCGGACGGGUGAGUAACACGUGGGUAACCUGCCCAUAAGACUGGGAUAACUCCGGGAAACCGGGGCUAAUACCGGAUAACAUUUUGAACCGCAUGGUUCGAAAUUGAAAGGCGGCUUCGGCUGUCACUUAUGGAUGGACCCGCGUCGCAUUAGCUAGUUGGUGAGGUAACGGCUCACCAAGGCAACGAUGCGUAGCCGACCUGAGAGGGUGAUCGGCCACACUGGGACUGAGACACGGCCCAGACUCCUACGGGAGGCAGCAGUAGGGAAUCUUCCGCAAUGGACGAAAGUCUGACGGAGCAACGCCGCGUGAGUGAUGAAGGCUUUCGGGUCGUAAAACUCUGUUGUUAGGGAAGAACAAGUGCUAGUUGAAUAAGCUGGCACCUUGACGGUACCUAACCAGAAAGCCACGGCUAACUACGUGCCAGCAGCCGCGGUAAUACGUAGGUGGCAAGCGUUAUCCGGAAUUAUUGGGCGUAAAGCGCGCGCAGGUGGUUUCUUAAGUCUGAUGUGAAAGCCCACGGCUCAACCGUGGAGGGUCAUUGGAAACUGGGAGACUUGAGUGCAGAAGAGGAAAGUGGAAUUCCAUGUGUAGCGGUGAAAUGCGUAGAGAUAUGGAGGAACACCAGUGGCGAAGGCGACUUUCUGGUCUGUAACUGACA